This 73-nucleotide transfer RNA is filed under the name Rhodoferax ferrireducens T118. It matches the Rfam family "tRNA". From Rfam's summary of the family: Transfer RNA (tRNA) molecules are approximately 80 nucleotides in length. The record is from Rfam by way of RNAcentral. Lineage: Bacteria; Pseudomonadati; Pseudomonadota; Betaproteobacteria; Burkholderiales; Comamonadaceae.
GGGCCGGUAGCUCAGAUGGGAGAGCGCUGCGUUCGCAAUGCAGAGGUCAGGAGUUCGAUCCUCCUUCGGUCCA